Molecule: ribosomal RNA, 882 nt
Filed under: uncultured fungus
Lineage: Eukaryota; Fungi
Description: eukaryotic LSU rRNA
Rfam family: Eukaryotic small subunit ribosomal RNA (bases 1-361)
Source: RNAcentral
CCUUAGAUGUUCUGGGCCGCACGCGCGCUACACUGACAGAGCCAGCGAGUACUCCCUUGGCCGGAAGGCCCGGGUAAUCUUGUUAAACUCUGUCGUGCUGGGGAUAGAGCAUUGCAAUUAUUGCUCUUCAACGAGGAAUCCCUAGUAAGCGCAAGUCAUCAGCUUGCGUUGAUUACGUCCCUGCCCUUUGUACACACCGCCCGUCGCUACUACCGAUUGAAUGGCUCAGUGAGGCUUCCGGACUGGCCCAGAGAGGUCGGCAACGACCACUCAGGGCCGGAAAGCUAUCCAAACUCGGUCAUUUAGAGGAAGUAAAAGUCGUAACAAGGUCUCCGUUGGUGAACCAGCGGAGGGAUCAUUACAGAGUUGCAAAACUCCCUAAACCAUUGUGAACGUUACCUUCAAACCGUUGCUUCGGCGGGCGGCCCGGGUCCGCCCGGUGCCCCCUGGCCCCCUAGCGGGGCGCCCGCCGGAGGAAACCCAACUCUUGAUUAUUAUGGCCUCUCUGAGUCUUCUGUACUGGAUAAGUCAAAACUUUCAACAACGGAUCUCUUGGUUCUGGCAUCGAUGAAGAACGCAGCGAAAUGCGAUAAGUAAUGUGAAUUGCAGAAUUCAGUGAAUCAUCGAAUCUUUGAACGCACAUUGCGCCCGCCAGUAUUCUGGCGGGCAUGCCUGUUCGAGCGUCAUUUCAACCAUCAAGCCCCAGGCUUGUGUUGGGGACCCGCGGCUGCCGCAGGCCCUGAAAACCAGUGGCGGGCUCGCUGUCACACCGGGCGUAGUAGAUUUUAUCUCGCUCAGGGCGUGCUGCGGGUUCCGGCCGUUAAAAGCCUUUUUUUACCCAAGGUUGACCUCGGAUCAGGUAGGAAUACCCGCUGAACUUAA